UGGACGAAAGAUACAUACGAUCUUACAUCUUCAAAAUGGUAUGUAAGCUCGUUUUAGUAUCUUUCGUCUC
MicroRNA precursor from Caenorhabditis elegans, 70 nucleotides. It matches the Rfam family "mir-787 microRNA precursor family". The record is from Rfam. NCBI's taxonomy places the organism in Eukaryota, Metazoa, Nematoda, Chromadorea, Rhabditida, Rhabditidae.